UCAGAAAACAACCCAAUUAGUAUGUAUGCUUAUAAUAUUACCCGUGUGUGCCCGUGUUCUACUAGCAAAUAGUAUUCAGCUGAUACUUAGAGACGUUAUUUAACGACUUUCUGACCCGAAGAUUUCCGACAACGUUAAUUGUUGCACACUCCAAAGAUAAUAAAUAUGAAAUGCUCAGGUAGUUCAUUAUUCAAAGUAAAUGGUUUA
This is a non-coding RNA of Cinara cedri, 207 nucleotides long. Lineage: Eukaryota; Metazoa; Arthropoda; Insecta; Hemiptera; Aphididae. The record is from the annotation of a GenBank genome assembly.